This 492-nucleotide ribosomal RNA is filed under the name uncultured bacterium. RNAcentral describes it as "partial 16S ribosomal RNA". It matches the Rfam family "Bacterial small subunit ribosomal RNA", at positions 29 to 507 of the family's 1533-position model. The record is from RNAcentral.
AGUGAACGCUGGCGGUAGGCCUAACACAUGCAGGUCGAACGGCAGCACAGUAAGAGCUUGCUCUUACGGGUGGCGAGUGGCGGACGGGUGAGGAAUACAUCGGAAUCUACUUUUUCGUGGGGGAUAACGUAGGGAAACUUACGCUAAUACCGCAUACGACCUACGGGUGAAAGCAGGGGAUCUUCGGACCUUGCGCGAUUGAAUGAGCCGAUGUCGGAUUAGCUAGUUGGCGGGGUAAAGGCCCACCAAGGCGACGAUCCGUAGCUGGUCUGAGAGGAUGAUCAGCCACACUGGAACUGAGACACGGUCCAGACUCCUACGGGAGGCAGCAGUGGGGAAUAUUGGGCAAUGGGCGCAAGCCUGAUCCAGCCAUACCGCGUGGGUGAAGAAGGCCUUCGGGUUGUAAAGCCCUUUUGUUGGGAAAGAAAAGCAGCAGGUUAAUACCCCGCUGUUCUGACGGUACCCAAAGAAUAAGCACCGGCUAACUUCGUG